Molecule: ribosomal RNA, 253 nt
Filed under: uncultured bacterium
Lineage: Bacteria
Description: partial 16S ribosomal RNA
Rfam family: Bacterial small subunit ribosomal RNA
Source: RNAcentral
UACGUAGGAUGCAAGCGUUGUCCGGAAUUAUUGGGCGUAAAGAGCGAGCAGGCGGUUUGGAAAGUUGGACGUGAAAUUUUAGGGCUUAACCCUAAAGGGUCGUCCAAAACUCCCAGACCAGAGUGCAGGAGAGGAAAGCGGAAUUCCCGGUGUAGUGGUGAAAUGCGUAGAUAUCGGGAGGAACACCAGAGGCGAAGGCGGCUUUCUGGCCUGUAACUGACGCUGAGGCGCGAAGGCUGGGGUAGCGAACAGG